GGCCCCGUGGCUCAACUGGAUAGAGCGGCCCCCUCCUAAGGGGCAGGUUGCAGGUUCGAAUCCUGCCGGGGUCGCCA
RNAcentral lists this transfer RNA (77 nucleotides) under Rhodobacteraceae bacterium MED-G08. Its description in RNAcentral is "tRNA-Arg". It matches the Rfam family "tRNA". From Rfam's summary of the family: Transfer RNA (tRNA) molecules are approximately 80 nucleotides in length. Their secondary structure includes four short double-helical elements and three loops (D, anti-codon, and T loops). The record is from RNAcentral. RNAcentral also lists the same sequence under 1 other name. Lineage: Bacteria; Pseudomonadati; Pseudomonadota; Alphaproteobacteria; Rhodobacterales; Paracoccaceae.